ACGCUGGCGGCGUGCCUAAUACAUGCAAGUCGAACGGCUUUUCUAUGGAAGCUUGCUUCCACUGGGAAGAUAGUGGCGAACGGGUGAGUAACACGUGGGUAACCUGCCCAUAAGAGGGGGAUAACAUCCGGAAACGGGUGCUAAUACCGCAUAGUUUUCUUGAUCGCAUGAUCGGGAAAGGAAAGACGGCCUUUGUGCUGUCGCUUAUGGAUGGACCCGCGGCGUAUUAGUUAGUUGGUGAGGUAACGGCUCACCAAGACGAUGAUACGUAGCCGACCUGAGAGGGUGAUCGGCCACAUUGGGACUGAGACACGGCCCAAACUCCUACGGGAGGCAGCAGUAGGGAAUCUUCCGCAAUGGACGAAAGUCUGACGGAGCAACGCCGCGUGAGUGAAGAAAAGGGUUUUCGGAUCGUAAAACUCUGUUGUCAGAGAAGAACAAGUUGGAGAGUAACUGCUCCAGCCUUGACGGUAUCUGACCAGAAAGCCACGGCUAACUACGUGCCAGCCGCAGC
Molecule: ribosomal RNA, 514 nt
Filed under: uncultured bacterium
Lineage: Bacteria
Description: bacterial SSU rRNA
Rfam family: Bacterial small subunit ribosomal RNA
Source: RNAcentral